UGUAGGCCGGUGGCUACAGCUCCGAUUGGACCCCUAGCCUGGGAACCUCCAUAUGCCGUGGGAGCGGCCCAAGAAAUAGCAAAAAGACAAAAAAAAAAAAAUCUGUUUUUAAAAAUUAUUUCCCCAAUACUUUAUUUUUUUUCCUACUGUACAGCAUGGUGACCCAGUUACACAUGUAUAUGUUCUUUUUUCUCACAUUAUCAUGCUCCAUCAUAAGUGACCAGACAUAGUUCCCAGUGCCACACAGCAGGAUCUCAUUGCUAAUCCAUUCCAAAGGCAAUAGUCUGCAUCUAUUAACCCCAAAUUCCUGGUCCAUCCCACUUCCUCCCCCUCCCCCUUGGCAACCACAAGUAUAUUUUCCAAGUCCAUGAUUUUCUUUUCUGUGGAAAGGUUCAUUUGUGCCAUAUAUUAGAUUCCAGAUAUAAGUGGUAUCAUAUGGUAUUUGUCUUUCUCUUUCUGACUGACUUCACUCAGUAUGAUUAAAAAAAAAAUCUAAAAAGAAAACUGUUACUGAUACACUUUUUCUGAAAAAAUAUGAUUGAAUGAGUUCCCUUAUGGCUUAGUGGGUUAAAGAUCCAGCAUUGUCACUGCUGUGGCUCAGGUUACAGCUGAGGUGUGGGUUUGAUCCCAGGCUCAGGAACUUCUGCAUGCCUCUAGGGUGGCCAAAAAUAUAUGUAAAUAUAAACAUAAGUAUAAAUAUCCUUUAUAGCAAUUACUGGGCCAAGGAGUUAUAGUGCUUUUUCUUAUUUAUGUUUAUUUUGGGUUUUACAAAUUUUUUGGUGUUUAUAAACAUAAAAUAAUUUAAAAAUAUUUAAAAUGCUUGAAGGUCAUAGGAAGAGAACCGAGUAAUAUGUGCUAAUGGUGACUAGGAUACACUGGCUUCAUGGUGAGAUCAAAAAAAAAAAAAACCAAAAAACUUGUUUGCUUGAAGCAUAGCUUUUGCGUUACUCAGGAUUAUUAUUGGCAAAUGGCAGAAAUCCAAGACAAAGAAGCAUUAAAGGAGAUUCUUAUGUAACUGACAAGUCCAGGAAUGGAAAUAGUACUUCAGGCAUGGCUGGAUCUAGGGCUGUAUUUCUGUCUCUGAAAUCUGUUUUCUCUAGAUGGACCUGAUUCUCUUCUACUACAGAGGGCUCACUUCUUGUAGCUGGGAAAGAUAUUGUUGGCAGUUCUGAUUUUUAAGUGCAGCUUGUGGAACAAGGUUUAACUUUAGUACAUGCAGGGAGGACCCUGGUUGGACCUUCAUGGCGCACGUGCCCAUCUCUGAGCAAAUCAUGGUGGCCACGGGGACAGAGUCCUGGAAUUGGCCAGUCUAGGACCUGCCACCUGUCCAUACCUGUGGGAUGAGAUCAGAGCGAAGUGAUGGACUGCUUCACUGGGACCCCUUUCCUAAAUACGGAUUUCUGCCGGACUAGUAAAACGAGGAGGAUCCACGCUAUCAGUGGAAGGUGGAAGGUAGUACUUAGCUUAUCUAUGUUGUGCUCUUAAGUAUUUUUAUUCAGUCAGACUGACUCUGGUGCCUCAGUCAUACUUAGGUGCUUCAGGAGGUGUGGUACUUAUUGCAGGCCUUGGGGAAGCCCCUUGGUAUAUUCUUGCUCUGGAUAUAAAUAGCCCCCAAGUCAUUCAGUGUCCCCAAGGAGUAAGUUAUUUCCUAAGUUACCUGAUUUACUACCAGGCAUGACCUAGGGUUAGGAAAAAUGAAUCUAUUCUCAUUUAGAUUCUCAUAGCGCUAGACGAUACCUUCUUUCUUACAAGAAGAGCACAGCACUACUGUGAGGUAAAGUCCUGAAGAAUUAUCCUCAUAAAAUUUUGCAGAUACCUAUUGGUUGAACUCCAAAGAUCCUUGGACAGGGUUCCAAAUUUUGUUCUAGAACCAACUCUGGGCAUAGAUACCCUGUUAGAUGUUUAUGGUAUGAACCGAAGGAAUGUUGCAGACACAUUUACUUCUUACUCCUAAUUGGGGAAUGUAGUGAUCUGGACUGGACCAUGUGGCUUGUGAGAGUCUGUUGGUUGGGUCAGAGCCACGCCUAACGGCAUGUUGGGUCUUUGCUCCGUGUUCGACUCCAGCCCCACCUGAGGCUGUGGGGGGCAGUGGUAGAUGGGAGAUUGAUGGUCAAGACAGUUUCCCUUGGGGUCAGUUGUACUAAACUAGCUCUAUGAGAAAAGCAGCCUAUAGGAGGAAAUAGACUCAUCUAAAAGGCAAAUAGUGAGAGCUCACUGCUGAGAAUAGAUUUUUGUUUUUGUGUGUUUUUUGUCUUUUUUCUUUUUUUUGCCUUUUCUAGGGCCACACCUGUGGCAUAUGGAGGUUCCCAGGCUAGAGGUCUAAUUGGAGC
This 2330-nucleotide long non-coding RNA is filed under the name Sus scrofa (pig). RNAcentral's name for it is "lncRNA (ENSSSCG00030062150.1)". Lineage: Eukaryota; Metazoa; Chordata; Mammalia; Artiodactyla; Suidae. The record is from RNAcentral.